This 240-nucleotide long non-coding RNA is filed under the name Gossypium barbadense (sea-island cotton). RNAcentral describes it as "long non-coding RNA (GBAR_LNC023320)". Lineage: Eukaryota; Viridiplantae; Streptophyta; Magnoliopsida; Malvales; Malvaceae. The record is from RNAcentral.
CCAGCCAUGCCUUUAAAUAGGCCUUAUAACUAGUCCUAAUCUAAUUAGAAAACUAAAAUAAAAAAACUCCUAAUUAUUUUAAUAUGGAAAUUCGGUCAAAGGUCUUUAUUUGGGACUCUUGGACUGAAUAUUUACAUAAAAAUUUAAACUAAGUAAAUAAAUAAAUAAAAAUAAAACUUUACAACUUGGGCCACUUUGACAAUUUGGCCUGAUUUUCAACUAAGUAUGUAUGGAUUUCUU